UGGCUGGUUUACUAGUCCGAAUUGUAGUUUAAAGAAGCGUUUUCGGUGGCAGCCUGGGUAUAAAUCCUUUGGAAUAGGGUAUCAUAGAGGGUGAGAAUCCCGUCUUUGACUCAGUGAAUGCUACUAUGUGAUACGUUUUCAAAGAGUCGAGUUGUUUGGGAAUGCAGCUCAAAAUGGGUGGUAAAUUUCAUCUAAAGCUAAAUAUUGGCGAGAGACCGAUAGCGAACAAGUACCGUGAGGGAGAGAUGAAAAGAACUUUGAAAAGAGAGUUAAACAGUACGUGAAAUUGUUGAAAGGGAAACGUUUGACACCAGUCAUGCGGGUGGAAAAUCAGUCUUUUAGAGUAGGGAGUGGUGGGGGUUCGGAUCGCAAGGCUGGCCUUUAUCUCAUCUCUGCGCUAAUGGAUGCACUUUUUCAUUUGCAGGUCAACAUCAGUUUCUUCUGCUGGACAAAACUCCGAGAGAAGGUAGCAGCUUAGGCUGUGUUAUAGCUCUGGAGCGAUACAGUGGAGGGGACUGAGGUUUUCGCAGUGUGUGCUUUCGGGCAAGGUUGAUUGGGUGCUAUGUGAUCGUUCGGUGUACAAUGCAUGCAUUUUGCGCUGUGUCUUUUGCAUACUCGCCUGACUCGACUCUUCCACGCUUAGGAUGUUGACUUAAUGGUUUUAAACGACCCGUCUUGAAACACGGACCAAGGAGUCUAACAUAUAUGCAAGUGUUUGGGUGGCAAACCCAUACGCGUAAUGAAAGUGAACGUAGGUGCGAUCCGCAAGGUGCAGCAUCGACCGAUCUUGAUAUUUUUGGAUAGAUUUGAGUAAGAGCAUAUAUGCUGGGACCCGAAA
This 838-nucleotide ribosomal RNA is filed under the name uncultured fungus. Its description in RNAcentral is "eukaryotic LSU rRNA". It matches the Rfam family "Eukaryotic large subunit ribosomal RNA", at positions 123 to 821 of the family's 3401-position model. The record is from RNAcentral. Lineage: Eukaryota; Fungi.